This 428-nucleotide ribosomal RNA is filed under the name uncultured prokaryote. RNAcentral describes it as "bacterial SSU rRNA". It matches the Rfam family "Bacterial small subunit ribosomal RNA", at positions 355 to 774 of the family's 1533-position model. The record is from RNAcentral.
UAGGGAAUCUUCCGCAAUGGACGAAAGUCUGACGGAGCAACGCCGCGUGAGUGAUGAAGGUUUUCGGAUCGUAAAGCUCUGUUGUUGGGGAAGAACAAGUACCGUUCGAACAGGGCGGUACCUUGACGGUACCUAACCAGAAAGCCACGGCUAACUACGUGCCAGCCGCCGCGGUAAUACGUAGGUGGCAAGUGUUGUCCGGAAUUAUUGGGCGUAAAGGGCUCGCGGGCGGUUUCUUAAGUCUGAUGUGAAAGCCCCCGGCUCAACCGGGGAGGGUCAUUGGAAACUGGGGAACUUGAGUGCAGAAGAGGAGAGUGGAAUUCCACGUGUAGCGGUGAAAUGCGUAGAGAUGUGGAGGAACACCAGUGGCGAGGGCGACUCUCUGGUCUGUAACUGACGCUGAGGAGCGAAAGCGUGGUGAGCGAACA